RNAcentral lists this small RNA (104 nucleotides) under Blastochloris viridis. Its description in RNAcentral is "Guanidine-I sequence". It matches the Rfam family "Guanidine-I riboswitch aptamer". From Rfam's summary of the family: This family represents a conserved RNA structure found upstream of the ykkC and yxkD genes in Bacillus subtilis and related genes in other bacteria. The function of this family is unclear although it has been suggested that it may function to switch on efflux pumps and detoxification systems in response to harmful environmental molecules. Nelson showed that this riboswitch senses and responds to guanidine and it was renamed Guanidine-I riboswitch. The record is from Rfam by way of RNAcentral. Lineage: Bacteria; Pseudomonadati; Pseudomonadota; Alphaproteobacteria; Hyphomicrobiales; Blastochloridaceae.
UCAUAACGCAUCUAGGGUUCCGGCCGCUGCCGCGGCGCUGGUCCGAGAGAUGCACUCCCGCCCCGCAAGGGGCGGAGCCACGGCGGGAUAAAAGCCCGGGAGAU